This is a long non-coding RNA of Hyla sarda, 1366 nucleotides long. RefSeq lists it as uncharacterized. NCBI's taxonomy places the organism in Eukaryota, Metazoa, Chordata, Amphibia, Anura, Hylidae. The record is from RefSeq and is a predicted model, not a curated record. The transcript is spliced from 4 exons.
GUUUCCUUCAGCGCAGUGAGAGGAUGUGUGACGCAGAGACGAGCGCGGUGUACAUGGUGUGAGGGAAGUCAUGACGUAAUAAGGAGGAUAUAUAAAUAUUCCAAACGUCCGUAUCCAGGAAAAUCCGGGAAUGAUAUCCCCAUGUCGCUACAUAUAAGAGAGAGAAAGAAAACUGGGAAAGGAAAGAGAAAGAGGAGGAUAAAUAUAAUUAUUUGAAUGAAUAUACAAAAAGAUAUAUAAAAAUAUAUACAUUCUAUCAGUGGAAAAUAGAUGAAAUAAAAUAGAUGAAUGGGAGCACACAAUCAAACGGAACUAAUAUAAGAAAAGAAAUAUGUGAACAUGUAUAAAUAAUACACGUUGACAUAAAAAAGUAGGAUAAUGGUCCCCCAUAAACAGCAAGUGUUUCCAUCAUAGGAGUCAGAGGGGACUACAAAGCACUAUAACUUAGCAAUAGGAGGGGCAAUCAUCAUGGUGUAAACAGGCUACAGCAUUGUCAAUAAAACAGUCGAUAAAACUGGUUGAUGGUAUUGAGACUUGGAAAGGUAGUCUACACUACUGCCAUAAGGCAGAGGAUACCUUUGUCACACAUGGUGACCAGGCUGCAUGCAGAUCAAUACCAACCUCUGAAUUAAACCUAAGUCAUCAAUCAGACUGCAAGAAAGGACAGUGCAGGUCACAGUCGGAUGGAUAAUCUCAAUUCUCAGCUGAGCUUUUACCCUGUCUGCCCUGAAAGCUGCACUUAUCCAGGAAAGUGGUUCUGCAUCCGAUUUGAGGCCAGACAGAGAGCAAAUAAUACCAACUUUCUGGGGGUAACCAGCAGAUGUACAGUGAUUACUGAAAUCAGGUAUUUGACAUUAGUCUCCUAAUAGACCUAGAACCAUUUUAAAACACUUCUUAAAGAAAAUUACUGACAUAGCAAUUUCAUAUACUAUAUAAAUUAUAUUGUAUUAUACUAAAUCCCACCCCCGGGUAGGGGUUAAAAGCACCUUCACCAGCAUACAUUUAGAUUUGCAAACUUCUGCUUUUGAACCAUGCAGUAUGUGUUUGAUAAGCAACAAGUGCCCACAAGGUGUGCCGAUCACUUCAAGUGCCCAGCAUUUCUGUCCCCUAUUCGCUGCUUACCUCCGCCUUCUGCAUUUGAUUGACUGAGCCUCUGUACAUGUGUGCUUUUAAGGAUGGAAUAGCUGAUUACUUGUGACUGCCCCCACCCUGAGGGCACUUGUGGCUCAUGUUUAUAUAUAAAAAAAAAAUAUCACAUGGAAUUUGUUGAGUCGGUGCUUAUUGUGAUGUAGAUUUUGAUGUGCCUUUUCAGAUAGUCUAGCUUUAAAGCUCUUAUUUUUUUCAAUGUGAGAUUUCAAAUAUAGAA